GCGCCUGUAGCUCAGUUGGAUAGAGCGUCCGCCUCCUAAGUGGAAGGUCCCCGGUUCAACUCCGGGCAGGCGCG
Molecule: transfer RNA, 74 nt
Filed under: Candidatus Omnitrophota bacterium
Lineage: Bacteria; Pseudomonadati; Candidatus Omnitrophota
Description: tRNA-Arg
Rfam family: tRNA
About the family: Transfer RNA (tRNA) molecules are approximately 80 nucleotides in length. Their secondary structure includes four short double-helical elements and three loops (D, anti-codon, and T loops). Further hydrogen bonds mediate the characteristic L-shaped molecular structure. tRNAs have two regions of fundamental functional importance: the anti-codon, which is responsible for specific mRNA codon recognition, and the 3' end, to which the tRNAs corresponding amino acid is attached (by aminoacyl-tRNA synthetases). tRNAs cope with the degeneracy of the genetic code in two manners: having more than one tRNA (with a specific anti-codon) for a particular amino acid; and 'wobble' base-pairing, i.e. permitting non-standard base-pairing at the 3rd anti-codon position.
Source: RNAcentral